Molecule: ribosomal RNA, 253 nt
Filed under: uncultured bacterium
Lineage: Bacteria
Description: partial 16S ribosomal RNA
Rfam family: Bacterial small subunit ribosomal RNA
Source: RNAcentral
UACGUAGGGCGCAAGCGUUGUCCGGCAUUAUUGGGCGUAAAGAGCUCGUAGGCGGUUUGUCGCGUCGGCCGUGAAAUCUCCACGCUUAACGUGGAGCGUGCGGUCGAUACGGGCAGACUUGAGUUCGGUAGGGGAGACUGGAAUUCCUGGUGUAGCGGUGAAAUGCGCAGAUAUCAGGAGGAACACCGGUGGCGAAGGCGGGUCUCUGGGCCGAUACUGACGCUGAGGAGCGAAAGCGUGGGGAGCGAACAGG